CUGUUGGAGAGUUUGAUCCUGGCUCAGAACGAACGCUGGCGGCACGCCUAACACAUGCAAGUCGAACGGCAGCGGGCCUUCGGGCGCCGGCGAGUGGCGAACGGGUGAGUAACACGUGGAGACCUAUCCCUGGGUGGGGGACAACAGCUGGAAACGGCUGCUAAUACCGCAUAAGCCCUUAGGGGGAAAGAUUGAUUGCCGAGGGAGGGGUCCACGUCGGAUUAGCUAGUUGGUGGGGUAAAGGCCUACCAAGGCGACGAUCCG
This 264-nucleotide ribosomal RNA is filed under the name Magnetococcales bacterium. RNAcentral describes it as "partial 16S ribosomal RNA". It matches the Rfam family "Bacterial small subunit ribosomal RNA", at positions 1 to 283 of the family's 1533-position model. The record is from RNAcentral. Lineage: Bacteria; Pseudomonadati; Pseudomonadota; Magnetococcia; Magnetococcales.